AUUGAACGCUGGCGGCAGGCCUAACACAUGCAAGUCGAACGGUAACAGGAGGAAGCUUGCUUCUUUGCUGACGAGUGGCGGACGGGUUAGUAAUGUCUGGGAAACUUCCUGAUGGAGGGGGAUAACUACUGGAAACGGUAGCUAAUACCGCAUAACGUCGCAAGACCAAAGAGGGUGACCUUCGGGGCUCUUGCCAUCGGAUGGGCCCAGAUGGGAUUAGCUAGUAGGUGGGGUAACGGCCCACCUAGGCGACGAUCCCUAACUGGUCUGAGAGGAUGACCAGCCACACUGGAACUGAGACACGGUCCAGACUCCUACGGGAGGCAGCAGUGGGGAAUAUUGCACAAUGGGCGAAAGCCUGAUGCAGCCAUGCCGCGUGUAUGAAGAAGGCCUUCGGGUUGUAAAGUACUUUCAGCGGGGAGGAAGGGAGUAAAGUUAAUACCUUGGCUCAUUGACGUUACCCGCAGAAGAAGCACCGGCUAACUCCGUG
RNAcentral lists this ribosomal RNA (490 nucleotides) under uncultured bacterium. RNAcentral describes it as "partial 16S ribosomal RNA". It matches the Rfam family "Bacterial small subunit ribosomal RNA", at positions 30 to 507 of the family's 1533-position model. The record is from RNAcentral.